Durio zibethinus is the source of this 718-nucleotide non-coding RNA. The record is from RefSeq and is a predicted model, not a curated record. NCBI's taxonomy places the organism in Eukaryota, Viridiplantae, Streptophyta, Magnoliopsida, Malvales, Malvaceae.
UGCAAAAAUAUCCUGGAAAAUUGUUUGCCAGGAAGAGAUGUGAUCUAUUCCAGACUUUUGUCUGAUCUGAUGAAACAGUAAGGACUGAGGAUGGCCUUAAACUUAAGCAGUAAGCUAUCCAAAAAGGAACUGCAUAUAAAUUGUCUUAUUUUAACAACCCAGGGUUAGAUUUCUGUACUGGUUAUUGCCUUUUAUAUAUUAAUAGGUCAAAGUUAAACAUUCAACUUCCUCUUAUAUCUGUAUGUCUUUUAUGUCAAGAAAAUAUAUAGUGUCAAUGUUAUCAUCCUUGAGAUAGUUGCCGGCCCAUCAUUUUUAUCCUCUUUUCUUCUUUCACGACCAAUUCGUAUGUGAAAAGUGAAAUAAUAUCUCAACUGAUCAAAGACCAACUCCAAUGUAGCAGUAUCACCAUGGUUUUUUUACUGAUCUGAUGGUUCGCAAUAACAGGUUUUCGUGGUUAUGGCGAAGAAGAGUUACAAAAGAAUUCAGUAGUCAACAUCCACACAUGUCAAAGCUUAAUCACUGCCAACGGGGAUUGAUUAAGUUGGUAAGGUUGGAAAAUUUUACGCACAAAGCUUAAGUUCAAAUCCCGCUACUAGUGAUCUUCCUUGGUCGAUUUUAAAUCUAAUAUAAUCCUCUAUGAAGCCUACGGUCUAUUUUGACCCUGAAAAGGAAAACCCCCCUCCUCUUAAACUUUUUUGACAGAAAAAAAAAAAAAAAA